ACUGGGAGUGGAAGGAGAGCC
RNAcentral lists this microRNA (21 nucleotides) under Bos taurus (domestic cattle). Its description in RNAcentral is "bta-miR-12057". Lineage: Eukaryota; Metazoa; Chordata; Mammalia; Artiodactyla; Bovidae. The record is from miRBase by way of RNAcentral.